Dicentrarchus labrax (European seabass) is the source of this 1197-nucleotide long non-coding RNA. RefSeq lists it as uncharacterized. The transcript is spliced from 2 exons. Lineage: Eukaryota; Metazoa; Chordata; Actinopteri; Moronidae. The record is from RefSeq and is a predicted model, not a curated record.
UCCACAACAACACGUCUGCUCACACCGAAAGGAACCUCAACUACAGCUGCACUGAAAACCACAACGCAUCCAGUCCUGUGACCAUCCUCUGAGCACGUGUGGUGCAUUCAGGGUCCACUCUAAAGUCCACUGGACUUCAGUCUGAUGACGUGUCAGUUUGUCAGUGAGACAGACGGAGGAUCUACAGCCGUUUAUUCAUUAUUUCAUUCUUUUUACACCUCCAGACACAAAUGUAAAAAAACAAACAGUGAGGAGUUCUGGCAGGAUUUAUUGGUUUACUAUUAAGGUAUUACACUGAGAUGUGCAGACAGCUGAAAUCAGGUCCUACCCAGCAGAGGAGAUGUUUCAGGACAUUUCUGCAGCUUCUUCUGCGGCUCUUCGACCCUCCUCUCCUCCGGAGGCUUCUGCUCAUCUCUCUGCUCCUCCCGCUGGACCUCCUUGGCUCCGGUUGAGGAGGAGAACUGUCGGACCUGGUUCGGCUGGGUCACAUUGCUGUGGGACUGCUGGUUCUGGACGAAGGCGAACCGGAUGUCCAGGGAGCGGACGUAGAAGACGACGGUGACGGAGAUGUGCAGGAAGCAGAGCAGCACCACCAGCUUACAGGUCCGGUGGAGGAGGUUGAAGUUAACGGUGGAGUCUGCCGCCAUCCUCCAGCAAUGUGAGUGAGACAGCCGCUGGAGAGCACUACCGGAGGGCACUACCGGAGAGCACUACCGGAGAGCACUACCGGAGGGCACUACCGGAGAGCGGAAGUAUGACUGCUCCCAGUUAGCUGCUGCUGCUGUCGGGCUCCAUGUUCCGUAAACUUCUCUUCAAACGUUACAACUUCUGGACUCAGAAUCACCCUGAAAGCUGACAGAAAAGGGCCGAAUCAGAGCUCAGAGUCCGGGGAAAAGUUUCCGCUCUGUCCCAGUCGGUUAGCAGUUAGCUACAUUAGCUUUCCGUCCGUUCACGUUAAAAGUGACGUUACAGUUACAGUUACCGCUAACUGUUAGCAGCGCAGGAACUGUGGUCCUUUACAAAAACGUCUGGUUUAAAGAUGGAAAGUCGCCCCGCAGCUCAGAAAUAUACUUUAUAAAAUAUGAAAGAAUUCAGGUUCAAUAAAUGUUCAUUAAAUUUACUGUUUCCGACCUCAAACGAUAUAAAAGUGACGGAGAAACUCGACAAAGUUUCCCCGCUGCUCCAGAGGGCACCAAA